This 230-nucleotide long non-coding RNA is filed under the name Ananas comosus (pineapple). Its description in RNAcentral is "long non-coding RNA (ACOM_LNC037928)". Lineage: Eukaryota; Viridiplantae; Streptophyta; Magnoliopsida; Poales; Bromeliaceae. The record is from RNAcentral.
UCAAAAUCAUUAGCAUUGUAAAAAAGUAUGAUAGAAAAGUAUUAUAUUUUACUGACCGUCCCUAGAGCAAAUAGCAAAGAGCUUGAUGGUUGGUACUCGAGACCCAAGUUCAAAUCCUAGUCGAUUCAAAUUUUCAACUAAGUUUAUUUCUAAAUAAAAUAAAUAAAACGGAUAGCGUGCUAUCUAUCUCUCAAAAAAAAGAAAAAAAAUAUUACAUUUUUGUUUCCAUA